This 670-nucleotide ribosomal RNA is filed under the name Verrucosispora sp. 213. RNAcentral describes it as "bacterial SSU rRNA". It matches the Rfam family "Bacterial small subunit ribosomal RNA", at positions 62 to 750 of the family's 1533-position model. Lineage: Bacteria; Bacillati; Actinomycetota; Actinomycetes; Micromonosporales; Micromonosporaceae. The record is from RNAcentral.
UCGAGCGGAAGGCCCUUCGGGGUACUCGAGCGGCGAACGGGUGAGUAACACGUGAGCAACCUGCCCUAGGCUUUGGGAUAACCCCGGGAAACCGGGGCUAAUACCGGAUAUUCACUGUUGGCCGCAUGGCUGGUGGUGGAAAGUUUUUCGGCUUGGGAUGGGCUCGCGGCCUAUCAGCUUGUUGGUGGGGUGAUGGCCUACCAAGGCGACGACGGGUAGCCGGCCUGAGAGGGCGACCGGCCACACUGGGACUGAGACACGGCCCAGACUCCUACGGGAGGCAGCAGUGGGGAAUAUUGCACAAUGGGCGGAAGCCUGAUGCAGCGACGCCGCGUGAGGGAUGACGGCCUUCGGGUUGUAAACCUCUUUCAGCAGGGACGAAGCGUGAGUGACGGUACCUGCAGAAGAAGCGCCGGCCAACUACGUGCCAGCAGCCGCGGUAAGACGUAGGGCGCGAGCGUUGUCCGGAUUUAUUGGGCGUAAAGAGCUCGUAGGCGGCUUGUCGCGUCGACUGUGAAAACCCGUGGCUCAACUGCGGGCCUGCAGUCGAUACGGGCAGGCUAGAGUUCGGUAGGGGAGACUGGAAUUCCUGGUGUAGCGGUGAAAUGCGCAGAUAUCAGGAGGAACACCGGUGGCGAAGGCGGGUCUCUGGGCCGAUACUGACGCUGAG